UACGAAGGGGGCUAGCGUUAUUCGGAUUUACUGGGCGUAAAGCGCAUGUAGGAGGGUCGUUAAGUUGGGGGUGAAAUCCCGAGGCUCAACCUCGGAACUGCCUUCAAAACUGGCGACCUGGAGCAGGAUAGAGGCAAGUGGAAUUGCGAGUGUAGAGGUGAAAUUCGUAGAUAUUCGCAGGAACACCAGUGGCGAAGGCGACUUGCUGGAUCUUUGCUGACGAUGAGAUGCGAAAGCGUGGGGUGCAAACAGG
RNAcentral lists this ribosomal RNA (253 nucleotides) under uncultured bacterium. RNAcentral describes it as "partial 16S ribosomal RNA". It matches the Rfam family "Bacterial small subunit ribosomal RNA", at positions 524 to 776 of the family's 1533-position model. The record is from RNAcentral.